RNAcentral lists this unclassified non-coding RNA (153 nucleotides) under soil metagenome. RNAcentral describes it as "partial internal transcribed spacer 1". The record is from RNAcentral.
UACGCAGAGUACUAUAACUCCAUAACCCUUUUGUGAACCUUUAUAACUUGUUGCUUCGGCGGCGCGAGCCCCUCGGGGAGCGUGCCCGCCGGUGUCAUCAGAAUCUCUGUUCGAACCCGACGAUACUUCUGAGUGUUCUAAGGCGAACUGUUA